UUGAGCCAGGCAGUAGGAUCAUGACUAAGAGAGGUAUUCACUUCUGCCAAGCCUUCGAUUUCCCCAAGAAUAUUAACAACCGAGCCGAGGACUCAACAGACGGAAAGUGGCCGUUGAAGAGAAUAAACUAGGAAGACAGGAAGGGAUACAUUUGGAAGAGGCCAAAAGGAUCUUAGUUCCCUGACCAGGGAUUGAACCUGGGCCAUGGCAGUGAAAGCGCUGAGUCCCAACUACUGGACCGCCAGGAGAACUCCCCCAGGGUUUGAGGUGUAUCAAGAGGAGAACCAUUGAAGGUCUCGACCAUUUGUCCUUGGCUCCCAUAUGCAAAAAAGGCAAUGCAUUUCAUUAUCUGUGAUGACAAUAGAUGGUCAAAAUCUAUCUGAUUAGGCUGAUUUGGAGCUUCACUUCAUUGUACACAAGAAUACUUUAACUUUUCAAGUUAUUUUGGUGCUGAUAUUCAGGUAUAAAUUUGGCUUCUGGCAAUAAGUCAGUUGAAGAAGAAAAACAACCGCUAUUUGUGGUUGAAACUGAGUGGGACCCUGCGGGAGCCUCCUGGUUAUAAAAGCCCCUCCGUGUCCCCCAUUUCUUGUUUGUAGAAAAAGUCUUUAGUCUCUUAGGCCUUCCCUGAGUUACAAAGAGCAGGAGCAUGCAGUUACUGAGUACGUAACUACUGUAGUAGUUAUUUCCAUUUACAAUAAAUGUCUCUACUGCUGCUUUACUUAGUGAGGGAAUGCAGAAAGAAAAGGAAGAUAAUUCAAACAAGAAAACGACAAUAGUUCAGUGAUAAAAGAGACCUAGUUCCUCCUCAAAGGGACAUAUAUCAGAAUCUGACCGAUACCUUUGAGUAGUUCUUCAGUAGCUAGGUCCCCCUGCCACACACACACACACACACACAACCAGGUGGAGGAAAGUGACUCAAUGCUGAGCAUAAGCACACAGACCGCAGACUGUUUGGAACCAGAAGGUUGAUGACUGAGAUUCCUGAAACACCACCCUGUCACCUCCUCACCACCAAGCAAUCAGAAGAAAGUCAUGAAUCCUGCAGCCCUCACCUCCAAAUGUUGCCUUUAAAUAUGCUUCCCUGAAAACCAUCUGGGGAGUUUGUUCUUUUGAGCAUAACCUGCCCAUACUCCUUGCUUGGUGCUUGUAAUAAAUGCUGUACUUUUCCUUUGCCAUAAGCUGGUGUCAGUAAAUUGGCUUUGCUGCAUAGAGGGUGAGUGAACCCAAAGUUCAGUCCAGUAACAUAGUUGAUAUGAUAAAUAUUUGAAACAAGACCCUUUUCGAGAAAGUCUGUGAUUUAAGGCAUUCAAGUCUUCCUGAUUUUUUCAUCUCUCUCCUGCUCUUGGAAAGUGCAGUUUGAGUGUGAUUAGUGGAAGGAUGAGAAAUUGCAGAGGACAGAGUGCUGGGGGUUUAUAAGGGGAAAUGGGAUAUGGAGAAAAGCGACUGGGAGUCCUGAAGCACUUGGUCUAGUUCCAAUUCUGCUAAUAACUAUAAUUAUCACCAAAUGAGCACCUACUACAUGCAAGGCACUGCAUUAGGUGCUUCCACAAACGGAACUGCAUUUAAUUAAGGCAUAAUUUUUAUCUGCUAUGAUCUUAUUUAAGAAAGCAGUUAUUUUUUUCUUCUUCAAAUAAUUAAACAUUGCUGAGAGUGAGUUUUGUUUUAAAUCUAAGUUCAGGACUAACUAGUUCCAUUUAGGGGAUUAAAGCAAAUCUGAGUGAUUGCACAUAAUGUUUGUUUUAUAACUACUGACUGUGAAGAUGAAUGAACUAUAAUGGACUUGAGUCUACCAGUGAUCAAGGAGAAAACUGCUUAUUUGUAAAAGUCCAUGAAUUGUUAUCAUAGUUAAUAAAUUAUUUCUAGUCUACUAAAUGUUGUAUUGUGUCAUCAAUAAAAUUUAGUAUGUGUCUUUCUAGAAACCAUUGAACCUAAAAUAGGUCCGACUAACAGAAAUGUAAUAAUUUUUUGUAAUAUAGUCAACACACUGAAACAAAGCAGGACCCUGUGGGCCCUCCCUGGUACCAAAGGCCCUCUGUGUCCCCAUUUCUUAUUUGUAGGAAAAAGGCUUCAGCCUCCUAGACCUUUCCUGAGUUCCGAAGGGCAGAUUCAAGCAGUUACUAAUUAGGGAAGGGAGGGAAUGCAGAAACAAAGGGAAAGCAGUCAAGAAACCAUAGUGCAGCAAUAAAGCAGAGUCCUAGUUCUUCCUCCAGGGAAAUACAGACCAAUGUAUCUUUGAGUCCUUCU
Long non-coding RNA from Lagenorhynchus albirostris (white-beaked dolphin), 2244 nucleotides. RefSeq lists it as uncharacterized. The transcript has 3 exons. NCBI's taxonomy places the organism in Eukaryota, Metazoa, Chordata, Mammalia, Artiodactyla, Delphinidae. The record is from RefSeq and is a predicted model, not a curated record.